ACUGGGGACAUGGGAAAACCUCUGGUAUCUAAGAGAUAAACAGUCAUGCAUUCUGCUUCCCAAGGAUCCCAGGAGACAAAAACACUGGAAGAGACAGCAUAAGAUUUGCAUCAUGCUCAUGCUCAUCAUGACGGCAUUGCUACUCUGAGGUAACUUUUCAAAGGAUGUCCCUCUGAGUCUGAAAGCCCUCCCAAGGUCAGAC
This is a long non-coding RNA of Trichomycterus rosablanca, 202 nucleotides long. RefSeq lists it as uncharacterized. The record is from RefSeq and is a predicted model, not a curated record. Lineage: Eukaryota; Metazoa; Chordata; Actinopteri; Siluriformes; Trichomycteridae. The transcript has 3 exons.